RNAcentral lists this ribosomal RNA (547 nucleotides) under uncultured bacterium. RNAcentral's name for it is "bacterial SSU rRNA". It matches the Rfam family "Bacterial small subunit ribosomal RNA", at positions 355 to 896 of the family's 1533-position model. The record is from RNAcentral.
UGGGGAAUAUUGCGCAAUGGGGGGAACCCUGACGCAGCCAUGCCGCGUGAAUGAAGAAGGCCUUAGGGUUGUAAAGUUCUUUCGGUAUUGAGGAAGGUUGAUGUGUUAAUAGCACAUCAAAUUGACGUUAAAUACAGAAGAAGCACCGGCUAACUCCGUGCCAGCAGCCGCGGUAAUACGGAGGGUGCGAGCGUUAAUCGGAAUAACUGGGCGUAAAGGGCACGCAGGCGGUUAUUUAAGUGAGGUGUGAAAGCCCCGGGCUUAACCUGGGAAUUGCAUUUCAGACUGGGUAACUAGAGUACUUUAGGGAGGGGUAGAAUUCCACGUGUAGCGGUGAAAUGCGUAGAGAUGUGGAGGAAUACCGAAGGCGAAGGCAGCCCCUUGGGAAUGUACUGACGCUCAUGUGCGAAAGCGUGGGGAGCAAACAGGAUUAGAUACCCUGGUAGUCCACGCUGUAAACGCUGUCGAUUUGGGGGUUGGGGUUUAACUCUGGCGCCCGUAGCUAACGUGAUAAAUCGACCGCCUGGGGAGUACGGCUGCAAGGUUA